RNAcentral lists this ribosomal RNA (236 nucleotides) under uncultured bacterium. RNAcentral describes it as "partial 16S ribosomal RNA". It matches the Rfam family "Bacterial small subunit ribosomal RNA", at positions 118 to 347 of the family's 1533-position model. The record is from RNAcentral.
UGAGCAAUCUGCCCUUCUCUUCGGAAUAAGCGUUGGAAACGACGUCUAAUGCCGAAUACGACCUCCUUUCGCAUGAUCGGAGGUGGAAAGCUCCGGCGGAGAAGGAUGAGCUCGCGGCCUAUCAGCUAGUUGGUGUGGGUAAUGGCCCACCAAGGCGACGACGGGUAGCCGGCCUGAGGAGGGUGACCCGGCCACACGUGGGACUGAGACACGGCCCAGACCUCCGUACGGGGAGG